Molecule: ribosomal RNA, 643 nt
Filed under: Aulactinia verrucosa
Lineage: Eukaryota; Metazoa; Cnidaria; Anthozoa; Actiniaria; Actiniidae
Description: eukaryotic LSU rRNA
Rfam family: 5.8S ribosomal RNA (bases 207-360)
Source: RNAcentral
ACCUGCGGAAGGAUCAUUACCGAUCGCGUUCUACACGUAGAACACCGUGAACCGUAUGGAGAGUUGGGGGUCGUCCCGUCGAGGACGUCAAACGAUGAGAGCGCCCCUUGGGUUGAUUCUCACGGCCCCCACGUUUAUUUUUCCAAACAACACCUUUACUACAGAGAGCUUGUCCGCUCCAAACGGACAGAAAACUAAAAGUUCAUAACUUUUAACGGUGGAUCUCUUGGCUCGUGCAUCGAUGAAGAACGCAGCCAGGUGCGAUAAGUAGUGUGAAUUGCAGAAUUCAGUGAAUCAUCGAAUCUUUGAACGCAAAUGGCGCUCUUGGGUUUUCCCAGGAGCACGUCUGUCUGAGUGUCGGUUUCCAAACCAUCGCACGCCCCGCGCGUGCGGAAUUGAGGCGUCGCGGCACCCCGGCAUCGUCGGGCGGGCCUCGUCCCUUGAAAUGCAGCACGACCGAUGGAAGCGGCCAGCGUCGCCACUUCGGGAAGGCCAAAAAAGCAUCUUUGCCCUUUCCCGAGGCGUCGUCUGAUCGGCCAUCCGGUUGGAGUUCGGCAGUAUGUAUGCCUUGUGCAUCCAUCCAUUCUUGACCUCAGAUCAGGCGAGAUUACCCGCUGAAUUUAAGCAUAUUAAUAAGCGGAGG